ACGCUCGACACCUACGGUAGGCAGCAGUCGGGAAUAUUGCGCAAUGGAGGAAACUCUGACGCAGUGACGCCGCGUGCAGGAAGAAGGUUUUCGGAUUGUAAACUGCUUUAGACAGGGAAGAAAGAAAUGACAGUACCUGUAGAAUAAGCUCCGGCUAACUACGUGCCAGUAGCCGCGGUAAUCUGAGCGGGCUGGCAAGGC
Molecule: ribosomal RNA, 201 nt
Filed under: uncultured bacterium
Lineage: Bacteria
Description: partial 16S ribosomal RNA
Rfam family: Bacterial small subunit ribosomal RNA
Source: RNAcentral